GUAGGGUGCGAGCGUUAAUCGGAAUUACUGGGGCGUAAAGCGUGCGCAGGCGGUUGUGCAAGACAGAUGUGAAAUCCCCCGGGGCUCAACCUGGGGAAUUGCAUUUGUGACUGCACGGCUAGAGUGUGUCAGAGGGGGGUAGAAUUCCACGUGUAGCAGUGAAAUGCGUAGAGAUGUGGAGGAAUACCGAUGGCGAAGGCAGCCCCCUGGGAUAACACUGACGCUCAUGCACGAAAGCGUGGGGAGCAAACAGGAUUAGAUACCCUGGUAGUCCACGCCCUAAACGAUGUCAACUAGUUGUCGGGUCUUAAUUGACUUGGUAACGCAGCUAACGCGUGAAGUUGACCGCCUGGGGAGUACGGUCGCAAGAUUA
Molecule: ribosomal RNA, 373 nt
Filed under: uncultured organism
Description: partial 16S ribosomal RNA
Rfam family: Bacterial small subunit ribosomal RNA
Source: RNAcentral